AGUUUUUGAAAGUGGUGAGCAGACGUCAGGACUUGAAGGCCUGCUUGCUCUUUUUCUGUUACUGUCAUAACGUCUUGGACAGAAUCUACCCUAGGAAAACACUGUCAGUGCCUAAAGUACUGUCUUCAACCUUACCAAUGUCAGUGGCGGCGACGGUGGCGUCACCAUCACCAUCAGAGAAAAAGAAAUAUGCCUUUAUGUCAUGAUGGGAAUGAGUGAUGGCCAUCCAGUGACCAGCUGGAUCUGACUGCCUUACAAGACGCAUGUGUAUGAUUAAGAGAGAGACAUUCGUGACUCCCAGAUGUACCUCCUUCCUGUCCCACAGUGUUCCUGAAGGGAGUGAGUUAUGGGGUAACUUAUAACACAGCAGGCUCUUCCUCAAGAUAGCUCUUGUCAAAACAGGAAGACGAAACUCGGGUUUCCAUGAGGAGACCACAGCUUGGGAUCCUGUCUGGAUGUACAAGCAGAAGCAUCUUCAUACUUUUCCAUUUCUAACCAUCAUGCCUCACCCCACCCUCCCAAGGCGACAUCUGCAGAGAGGUGGAACCAUCUAGGGAGGCCUGCCACUGUUUGCUGAGCUCCGGGUGAGGAUGAAGACACUUUGACAUGGCCAGCUUCAGACUCGGGAUCUGUCGGUGUUAGCAGCCGAAGGAGAAUGAGGAGGAAGAGGAGGAGAAAGAGGAGGAGGAAGUAAGACAGAGGGGGACAAGAGGACCAAGAGGGCACAUGGCUGAGGAGGAGGAGAACAACAACAACAACAACAACAACAACAACAACAAGAAGCUUGGUGUUUUCAGGAUGUGUUCCUGAGUCUCGUGAGUAGCACAUGGCAGUUGUUGUCACCUUGGGCUGAGCCGUGAAGAUUCUCACCCUCCCUUGUUGGGGAUGAACUCCGGGAUUCUAAGGAGAGGUCAGCAGGUGUUUCACAGACUGUUCCUGUUGGAGGAUUUGUCUGAUACUCUUCUCCUGAUUAGUCUGGGCUCUACAUUUCCCCAAGGGUGAAACUUGGAAGCCCUCUCCAGGAUGCAGCAGGUAGCUGAGGAGAAAACGAAGACUGACCAGCCCAGAGCUCAGAGCUUCCUCCCAUGCUCAGGAUUUACCACCAAUGCCAUUACAUCGGCCUCUUCUUGUAUGCCUCUGGAAACCACAUGUGUCCUCUGUUUGUAAUGGUUUGGCUAUGGUUGCUGGCCCCUCUUGGACAUUGUUUUCAGAACUUAAAGAAACAUUGCUUUAAAGAUUUAUUAGAACAUAUUUAAAA
RNAcentral lists this long non-coding RNA (1258 nucleotides) under Mus musculus (house mouse). RNAcentral describes it as "RIKEN cDNA 2610307P16 gene". Lineage: Eukaryota; Metazoa; Chordata; Mammalia; Rodentia; Muridae. The record is from RNAcentral.